This 72-nucleotide transfer RNA is filed under the name Camelus bactrianus (Bactrian camel). It matches the Rfam family "tRNA". From Rfam's summary of the family: Transfer RNA (tRNA) molecules are approximately 80 nucleotides in length. Their secondary structure includes four short double-helical elements and three loops (D, anti-codon, and T loops). The record is from Rfam by way of RNAcentral. Lineage: Eukaryota; Metazoa; Chordata; Mammalia; Artiodactyla; Camelidae. RNAcentral also lists the same sequence under 3 other names.
GAGGGUACAGCUCAGUGGUAGAGUACAUGCCUAGCAUGCACGAGGUCUUGGGUUCAAUCCCCAGUACCUCCA